UCGGACGUGGUGUAUGGUGCACGACCCUGAACUAUAGAGUCGUGUCUGACAAGUUAUUCAGGGGCAGGACAGGGUUCGACUCCCUGUGUCCGAA
Mycena galopus ATCC 62051 is the source of this 94-nucleotide non-coding RNA. The record is from the annotation of a GenBank genome assembly. Lineage: Eukaryota; Fungi; Basidiomycota; Agaricomycetes; Agaricales; Mycenaceae.